RNAcentral lists this ribosomal RNA (253 nucleotides) under uncultured bacterium. RNAcentral describes it as "partial 16S ribosomal RNA". It matches the Rfam family "Bacterial small subunit ribosomal RNA", at positions 524 to 776 of the family's 1533-position model. The record is from RNAcentral.
UACGUAGGGGGCUAGCGUUGUCCGGAAUCAUUGGGCGUAAAGAGCGUGUAGGCGGCCCGGUAAGUCCGCUGUAAAAGUCAAAGGCUCAACCUUUGAAUGUCAGUGGAUACUGCCGGGCUAGAGUCCGGAAGAGGCGAGUGGAACUCCUGGUGUAGCGGUGGAAUGCGCAGAUAUCAGGAAGAACACCAACGGCGAAGGCAGCUCGCUGGGACGGUACUGACGCUGAGACGCGAAAGCUAGGGGAGCAAACAGG